RNAcentral lists this ribosomal RNA (784 nucleotides) under Arthrobacter sp. RNAcentral's name for it is "bacterial SSU rRNA". It matches the Rfam family "Bacterial small subunit ribosomal RNA", at positions 67 to 861 of the family's 1533-position model. Lineage: Bacteria; Bacillati; Actinomycetota; Actinomycetes; Micrococcales; Micrococcaceae. The record is from RNAcentral.
CGAUGAUCCUCAGCUUGCUGGGGGGAUUAGUGGCGAACGGGUGAGUAACACGUGAGUAACCUGCCCUUGACUCUGGGAUAAGCCUGGGAAACUGGGUCUAAUACUGGAUACGACCUUCUGGCGCAUGCCAUGUGGGUGGAAAGCUUUUGUGGUUUUGGAUGGACUCGCGGCCUAUCAGCUUGUUGGUGGGGUAAUGGCCUACCAAGGCGACGACGGGUAGCCGGCCUGAGAGGGUGGACGGCCACACUGGGACUGAGACACGGCCCAGACUCCUACGGGAGGCAGCAGUGGGGAAUAUUGCACAAUGGGCGCAAGCCUGAUGCAGCGACGCCGCGUGAGGGAUGAAGGCCUUCGGGUUGUAAACCUCUUUCAGUAGGGAAGAAGCGAAAGUGACGGUACCUGCAGAAGAAGCGCCGGCUAACUACGUGCCAGCAGCCGCGGUAAUACGUAGGGCGCAAGCGUUAUCCGGAAUUAUUGGGCGUAAAGAGCUCGUAGGCGGUUUGUCGCGUCUGCCGUGAAAGUCCGGGGCUUAACUCCGGAUCUGCGGUGGGUACGGGCAGACUUGAGUGAUGUAGGGGAGACUGGAAUUCCUGGUGUAGCGGUGAAAUGCGCAGAUAUCAGGAGGAACACCGAUGGCGAAGGCAGGUCUCUGGGCAUUAACUGACGCUGAGGAGCGAAAGCAUGGGGAGCGAACAGGAUUAGAUACCCUGGUAGUCCAUGCCGUAAACGUUGGGCACUAGGUGUGGGGGACAUUCCACGUUUUCCGCGCCGUAGCUAACGCAUU